UACCUGAUUGAUUCUGUCAGCGCUAUAUGCUCAUUUAAGGUUGAGCCAUCAAUGUCGAGUUCAACUUUCAAGUGAAACUGCGAACGGCUCAUUAGAGCAGAUGUAAUUUAUUCGGAAUUAUUCAAAUGGAUAACUGCGGUAGUUCUGGAGUUAAUAAAUGCGAUGAAUCUUUUAAAGUUGAAGUUCAAAGUUAAAGUUUGAAACCCUGACUUUUAAAAGGGUGCAAUUACUCGAGCAAAUCAGUGAUAUUCGGAUUUAUAGUUUGCUGACUCUGAAUAACGCGGCAUAUGGGCGGCAUAGUUCGCCGAUAUUCCGAAAAAGUGUCUGCCCUAUCAACCUGAUGGUAGUCUAUUAGGCCUUAGAAACGGCUACCACAUCCAAGGAAGGCAGCAGGCGCGAAACUUAUCCAAUCUUGAAGAGAUGAGAUAGUGACUAAAAAUAAAAAGACCAUUCCUAUGGAAAGUUUUUUUUUUUUUACGUUUUUUUACGUUUUUUCAAGUAUCGAGUGGAGGGCAAGUCUGGUGCCAGCAGCCGCGGUAAUUCCAGCUCCACUAGUGUAAAUCGUCAUUGCUGCAGUUAAAAAUCUCGUAGUUGGAUCUGAGUUACACGCAAUCGAUUCGCCUUUGGCGUUAAUCGUUGUUGUAAAUAUACGUGCUGGUUUUCUAUUAGAGUUUCGACUUCUCUAGUGACUAGCGAGUUUUCUUUGAAUAAACUAGAGUGCUCAAAACAAGCGUUUGCUUGAAUUGUUGAUCAUGAAUAGAAGAGGACUUCGGUUCUAUUUAUUGGUUCAGGAACUGGAAUAAUGGUUAAGGGGGACAAUUCGGGGGCAUUCGUAUUCCUGCGUGAGAGGUCAAAUUCGUGGACCACAGGGAGACGCCCUAAAGCGAAAGCGUUUGCCAAGAAUGUCUUCAUUAAUGAAGA
RNAcentral lists this non-coding RNA (921 nucleotides) under Dictyocaulus viviparus (bovine lungworm). RNAcentral's name for it is "Eukaryotic small subunit ribosomal RNA". It matches the Rfam family "Eukaryotic small subunit ribosomal RNA", at positions 1 to 982 of the family's 1831-position model. Lineage: Eukaryota; Metazoa; Nematoda; Chromadorea; Rhabditida; Metastrongylidae. The record is from Rfam by way of RNAcentral.